Molecule: long non-coding RNA, 1368 nt
Organism: Trifolium pratense (red clover)
Lineage: Eukaryota; Viridiplantae; Streptophyta; Magnoliopsida; Fabales; Fabaceae
Exons: 4
Source: RefSeq, a predicted model, not a curated record
AAAAGCUCACUCAAUCAAAGGUCACAUGAUUUUCUUAGGGUUUUCUUUCAACCGAAUCCCUUUUGUUUUUUUCCAAAAAACACGUCGCUGAAUCCAUCGUCAAAUCAUCCACCUAUCGCUUUCUCCUUCUUCAAUUUCUCCAUGCCAACUAACGAUGGGUUCAACAACGACGAUGCGGAACAUCUGUUUCAGAUCUAAGGUGACAAAAGCUCCAGGUAUCAAAUACCAGAUGUUCUUCUCAGAUUUGGAUUUGAUUUUCGAUUUUGAUUUCUCAAACACCUUACCGAACAACAACAACAUCAUACGUAAGUGAAUUUGACCAAUUUGAAUAUAGAAACUCAACUUUGACACUGUUGUGGAAUUAGUUACAGUUCUUUGUAUCUCUAAAACUAUUUGGUCAUUGAUUCUAUUGCAAAAUACUGAGUUACUUAUGCAUCUCUAAAGCUAUUUGGUUAUCAUGCAAAAUACUAGAUUUGUUGGUCCUUCAUAGGUAUAUUUUAUUUUAAUCAACAUAAUUUACUAUAUUAUGCAUACCACUUAAAUUUGGUGACAACAAUUUGGUUAUAAUAUACUACUUAUAGUUAGCUAUGCCAUUGUUGAGGUCACAACUUUCUAUCUUGAAACUUUACUAUGGUAUUGCUUGAUUGAUAUGUCCUUUGAAUAAAUGUUGUUGAAUGUUUAUAGUUUACCUGGUGGCUUAUCAUAUUGUGCUUUCUUCAUUAAUUAAUCCAUCCCUUUUUCAUUAUCCCUGCAUAUUCCCUCUAAAAGAAAAGAAACCCUAACUUUGUCUCUUUGUGCGAAUCUUGUAAUCCCAUUAUUGACGCAAUCCCGCCAACAAAGCUGACCAACAACUCCCAUUCGUUGAGGAAACAACCUUCAAGAAGAAACCUCUUCCGCAGGAAGAUGACGAUGCUCCUAUUGUUGAAGACAACAAAGACGAAUCUGACGACUAAGAAGACGAAGCUCAAGGUGGAACUGAAGGCUCUAGGCAAAGCAGAAGUGAGAAGAGUCGAAAAGCAAUGUUGAAGCUGAGACUAAAUUUAUUGGUUCGUAGCUUUCAUCACUCCUCCCCAACAGUUUGUCGUCCUCAACUUUUCUGCCACCAUACAUCCCCAAAAUUUAUUGGUUGUCACUGAAGAUUUGGAAGGAUCUUCACCAAAUAGGUUUUUUCGGUGUAGACUUUACUCUCGAUUUGUUAGACAUAUAUUUGAUUUGUUUUUCUUAGUGUUAUUGUUGUAUAACAUAAUGGUUGCCAAUCUCUUGAGAUUCUUAAAAUUUACACCAAAUAAGUUUAGUUUGUUUGUUGGUUGAGAUAUUGUGUUUGUCACUUUGUAUGACUAUUGAUUUUAUGGAUUUGUAUGUGUGGUU